UAAAGACCUUUUUCGGAAGGUAUGCUUAAAGAGGGGCUUGCGUCACAUUAGUUAGUUGGCAGGGUAAAAGCCUACCAAGACUAUGAUGUGUAGCUGGACCUGAGAGGUUGAACAGCCACAUUGGGACUGAGACACGGCCCAAACUCCUACGGGAGGCAGCAGUAGGGAAUUUUCGGCAAUGGAGGAAACUCUGACCGAGCAACGCCGCGUGAACGAUGAAGUAUUUUCGGUAUGUAAAGUUCUUUUAUUGAAGAAGAAAAAAUAGUGGAAAAACUAUCUUGACGAUAUUCAAUGAAUAAGCCCCGGCAAACUAUGUGCCAGCAGCCGCGGUAAUACAUAGGGGGCGAGCGUUAUCCGGAAUUAUUGGGCGUAAAGGGUGCGUAGGCGGUUUAAUAAGUCUAUAGUUUAAUUUCAGUGCUUAACACUGUCCUGCUAUAGAAACUAUUAGACUAGAGUGAGAUAGAGGCAAGUGGAAUUUCCAUGUGUAGCGGUAAAAUGCGUAAAUAUAUGGAGGAACACCAGAGGCGUAGGCGGCUUGCUGGGUCUUUACUGACGCUGAGGCACGAAAGCGUGGGGAGCAAACAGGAUUAGAUACCCUGGUAGUCCACGCCGUAAACGAUGAGUACUAAGUGUCGGGAUUACUCGGUACUGAAGUUAACACAUUAAGUACUCCGCCUGAGUAGUACGUACGCAAGUAUGAAACUUAAAGGAAUUGACGGGACUCCGCACAAGCGGUGGAUCAUGUUGUUUAAUUCGAAGAUACACGAAAAACCUUACCAGGUCUUGACAUACUCUGCAAAGCUAUAGGCAAUAUAGUGGAGGUUAUCAGGGAUACAGGUGGUGCAUGGUUGUCGUCAGCUCGUGUCGUGAGAUGUUAGGUUAAGUCCUAAAACGAGCGCAACCCUUGUCAUUAGUUGCCAGCAUGUCAUGAUGGGGCACUUUAAUGAGACUGCCAAUGAAAAAUUGGAGGAAGGUGAGGAUCACGUCAAAUCAUCAUGCCCCUUAUGAUCUGGGCUACAAACGUGAUACAAUGGCUGUUACAAAGAGUAGCUGAAACGUAAGUUUAUAGCCAAUCUCAUAAAAGCAGUCUCAGUUCGGAUUGAAGUCUGCAAC
RNAcentral lists this ribosomal RNA (1113 nucleotides) under Sugarcane whiteleaf phytoplasma. RNAcentral's name for it is "bacterial SSU rRNA". It matches the Rfam family "Bacterial small subunit ribosomal RNA", at positions 187 to 1311 of the family's 1533-position model. The record is from RNAcentral. Lineage: Bacteria; Bacillati; Mycoplasmatota; Mollicutes; Acholeplasmatales; Acholeplasmataceae.